UGCAGGGCCUUGGGGGUCAGGGGAGGACUUUUGCCCCAAAGGAGGUGGGGCCCCUAGAGGACUGUGAGCAGAGGAGGGCAGGACCUGACUCAGAGCUCAUGGGGGCUCUCUGGCCACCUUAGGACAGACAGGGAAGCGAGGACAGAAGCCAGGGGACCAGGGUAGAGGUGACUGCUCUGGUCCAGGAGGGCGAUUAUGGGAGCAGACCAGGGCAGAAGCAGGGCCCUCUCUUGUGGGGUGAGCCCCUCAGGGCCCAGAGGGCGGGAGCUCGGAGUCGUGGCUUCCAACCCCAGCUCCCUGCUUGCCCCUGGGAAGGCCCCUUGACCUCUCCGUGCCUCGGUUUUCUCAUCUACAAAAUGGAACAAUACCAGUGCCUGCCUACAGCAUGGCUGUGAGGUGCCCACGCGGGGCCAUGGAGAGCACGAUGGGGCCGUGCGCCCCAGCCCUCGCCAUCCCCAAACUCACCCAGCGUGAUGGGUUUGCUGUCCUCCUGGUCGGAGCCCAUCCCUGCCCGGGGACUACCGCUCUGCUCCGCGUCUGCAAAGAGAAGGAGGAGGACGGUGUGGUGACAUUGCAGGGGACCCCACCCCGGGGGGAGAGGAGGCCUCCGUGCCGGGGCCAGGCUGGGCAGCGCCGUGGAGAAGCGGUCCCGAGCUCGCCCAGGCCCGGGGGUCUCCGCUUGGCCCCCUCCCCUCGGCCUCUGCCCUUGAAGUCCCGGGGCCCCAGCCCUUGGUCUUGGGUUGUCACUCAGGGCCCCCAGGAGAGGGCAGAGGGGCGUCCCCCUGCAGCCGCCAUGCGGCUACCCACCCGCCUGGCUUGGGGGCUCCCUCCCACCCUGGCGCCCGCCCUCCAUCUUAUCUAAAAAUAAUCAGGCUCCUUGGCAGACGGCGAAACAGACAGACGCUGAGCUCAGCAUUAUCAGCUCCGGCAGCCUGGAUGGAGGGCGAGGCGCGCCAACCCCUUGCAGCCCCCACGGCGUCCACCCGGGACCGGGGUGGGGGCGGCGGGGGGGGGGGGGGACACCCACAAGCCCAGCCUGACGGAACCCCCGGCCCCGCCUAUCUGUCUCUGAGGUCAAACACCAAGGUGGUGGGAGUCACGGCCAGACGCCAAAGAAGGAGAACCAGCCCUUUCCACCUGCUAGGUUCCAAAGCCAGGCAUAACCCCUGUGUGCUCUCAGGGAAGUUGCUUAACUGUUCUGAGCCUCACUUCUCUCUUUCAAAUGGGUGUGGGCAUCACCGAGAGGUGGUAAAGAGGUAAUACGGACGGGUCGGGAGCCCCUAGGGCACGCCCAAAUCGAGUUCGAGCCCCGGAUCUGGUUCAGCGCGGACGGCGUGGAGCCCGCUUGGGAUUCUCUGUUUCCCUCCCUCUCUCUCUCGCUCUCAAAAUAAAUAAACUUAAAAGAAUAUUUUAAAUCCCUAAAAUGGCCCUAAACGUGGGCUUCACCUCAUUUUCGAGGUCUCCUUCAAUCCGUGAGAGCCACACGUCUGGCGUUUGUGAUUGUACCCAUUUUUUUUUUUGAUUGUGCCCAUUUUAUAGGCAAGGAAGCCUGAGGUUGGAACAGUGAGCAAGUGCCCACCCACGGCACUUGUGCCCCCACCCCAUCACCAGGGUGACUUUCUGCAUGAGUGGGCACGUGCGUCCAGACCUGCGACCCACGGCCGUGCGUUAACCGCCUGGCUUCCGGGAUCGGACGCCCGAGUUCCCAUCCCAGCUCCGGGAGCCUCCGAGGCGACGCGCCCUCCGCUCCCUCGGGAUCCCGUGGGGGUGACCGUGCGGACGCCUCCCCGGACGGCCGCGGAGCCCUCCCCGUGCGCCUCGUGGCUUGGCACACCCUGUGUGUCGAGCACCUCCUGCCCGCCAAGAUCGAGGGUGCCCUGAACGCCACCGGGCCGAGGACCCGUGCCUCAGUUUCCCGACCCGCCACAGGAGCGGACGGGGGCAGCCCCAGUCGUGACCCACUGGGCUGGGCAGGGCUGGGCAGCAGCCGAGGCGAGCGUGCCCGGCUCGGCCCCGUGCCCUGUGGCCGCUCCCAGACCGGGCUGCCAGCGGCCCCUUGGCUCCGGCCAGUUCCGCUUGGACGGCCACGCGGCUGGGCACGGUGGCCGCCGCGUUGGGAAGAGCCCAGCCCGGGCAGCUGGCCUCGGGCACAGGACCCUCUUCCGGAUCCGGCGCCCACACGGCCUCGGCAGGCAGCAGGGCGCGGCGGGCGCUCAGGCAAUGCCCGGUCAGGGCCGCAGGGCUGUGGGCCUCGUUCUCCUCAUCCGUGAAGUGGGCACAGCCACACGUCUCUCUCAGAGGCUGUCCCCUGACAGAAAAGGCGAUCGCGAAUACAAGAAAGAGCCCCAGACCGGGGUGGGGGGUGGGGGGCACACAGUAAGCACGUCGCCAGCCGGAGGGAGGCGUUAUCACUCUCCGUGCUGCGUCCCCCCCCCUCCCCUGUUUCCGUCUAGGGUGUUGUUACUUUGCAUCCGUGGAGAGCGAGGGCGCUCGGCCACAGCUGACUCUUAGCCAAGGUCGCCCUGUGACCUGGGGCCGGCCAGACCACCUCUCGGAGCCACGCGGUUUCCCGGGAACAGAAAGAUGGCAGAACCCACCUCCGGGCUUUGCCGGCCGCCAAGUCAGCGAAUGCGUGUGAAAGCGCUGGCAAGGACUUCCAGCACGAUACCGAACGGAAGUGGCGAGAGCGAGUGGCCCUUCUUGGUUCCGAUCUUGGGGAGACUCCCCAGUUUCUCACCCCCGAGCACGAUGGAGAUCCCUUCACUGGGGUCAAGGGGUUUACCCUUCCCUUUCUUUGGUCCGGGGAGCUUUUUUUUUUUUUUUAAAUUAAAUAAGCGUCGUUUCUAAACACUGA
Prionailurus viverrinus (fishing cat) is the source of this 2854-nucleotide long non-coding RNA. RefSeq lists it as uncharacterized. Lineage: Eukaryota; Metazoa; Chordata; Mammalia; Carnivora; Felidae. The record is from RefSeq and is a predicted model, not a curated record. The transcript has 2 exons.